This 424-nucleotide long non-coding RNA is filed under the name Mytilus galloprovincialis (Mediterranean mussel). Lineage: Eukaryota; Metazoa; Mollusca; Bivalvia; Mytilida; Mytilidae. The record is from RNAcentral.
AUUUGUAACUAGUAAGAGUUUUUUUUCAUUCCCUGGACUUCAGUUAAGCGAAAACUGACUUGUAAUGACUAAACACAUCUUUAAGUUUAAAGGAUUUUAACUUAUACAUAACUAUAUAAAUGUGGUAUGAAAUAACUUUUAAACACAAAUGUGUUAUGAAAUGAUGUAAAAGGGGGACGAAAGAUACCAGAGGGACAGUCAAACUCAUAAAUCGAAAAUAAACUGACAACGCCAUGGCUAAAAAUACAAAAGACAAACAGACAAACAAUAGUACACAUGACACAACAUAGAAUAAACAACACGAACCCAAAACUUUGAACCAUAAGGCCAGACAUAUUUGAUGAAUAGUUUUUUCUUUGCAUUUUUCAGCUCCUUUUUUGGAGAAAUUGAUUUUUCAAAAAAAAAAAAUUAAAAAAAAAACGCU